GACGAACGCUGGCGGCAGGCUUAACACAUGCAAGUCGAGCGCUCGCAGCAAUGCGGGAGCGGCAGACGGGUGAGUAACGCGUGGGAACAUACCCUCCGGUACGGAAUAACUCAGGGAAACUUGAGCUAAUACCGUAUACGGUCGAGAGGCGAAAGAUUUAUCGCCGGAGGAUUGGCCCGCGUUCGAUUAGCUAGUUGGUGUGGUAAUGGCGCACCAAGGCGACGAUCGAUAGCUGGUCUGAGAGGAUGAUCAGCCACAUUGGGACUGAGACACGGCC
RNAcentral lists this ribosomal RNA (277 nucleotides) under uncultured bacterium. RNAcentral describes it as "partial 16S ribosomal RNA". It matches the Rfam family "Bacterial small subunit ribosomal RNA", at positions 28 to 331 of the family's 1533-position model. The record is from RNAcentral.